RNAcentral lists this transfer RNA (71 nucleotides) under Monacoa grimaldii (mirrorbelly). RNAcentral's name for it is "tRNA-Gln". It matches the Rfam family "tRNA". From Rfam's summary of the family: Transfer RNA (tRNA) molecules are approximately 80 nucleotides in length. Their secondary structure includes four short double-helical elements and three loops (D, anti-codon, and T loops). Lineage: Eukaryota; Metazoa; Chordata; Actinopteri; Argentiniformes; Opisthoproctidae. The record is from RNAcentral.
UAGAAAGUGGUGUAAGGGGAGCACCAAGAGUUUUGAUCUCUUAAGAAUGGGUUCAAGCCCCUUCUUUCUAG